GUUGAGACAGGGGUCUAUAGUGUGGUGGUGGGUCAGGUUGAGACAGGGGUCUAUAGUGUGGUGGUGGGUCGGGUUUAGACAGGGGUCUAUAGUGUGGUGGUGGUUCAGGUUGAGACAGGGUUCUAUAGUGUUGGUGGUGGGUCAGGUUGAGACAGGGGUAUAUAGUGUUGGUGGUGGGUCAGGUUGAGACAGGGGUCUAUACUGUGGUGGUGGGUCAGGUUGAGACAGGGGUCUAUAGUGUGGUGGUGGGCCAGGUUGAGACAGGGGUCUAUAGUGUUGGUGGUGGGUCAGGUUGAGACAGGGGUCUAUAGAGUUGGUGGAGGGUCAGGUUGAGACAGGGGUCUAUAGUGUGGUGGUGGGUCAGGUUGAGACAGGGGUCUAUAGUGUUGGUGGUGGGUCAGGUUGAGACAGGGGUCUAUAGUGUGGUGGUGGGUCAGGUUGAGACAGGGGUCUAUAGUGUGGUGGUGGGUCAGGUUAAGACAGGGGUCUAUAGUGUGGUGGUGGUGGGUCAGAUUGAGACAGGGGUCUAUAGUGUUGGUGGUGGGUCAGGUUCAGACAGGGGUCUAUAGUGUGUUGGUGGGUCAGGUUGAGACAGGGGUCUAUAGUGUGGUUUUGGGUCAGGUUGAGACAGGGGUCUAUAUUGUGGUGGUGGGUCAGACAGGGGUCUAUAGUGUUGGUGGUGGGUCAGGUUGAGACAGGGGUCUAUAGUGUUGCUGGUGGGUCAGGUUGAGACAGGGGUCUAUAGUGUGGUGGUGGGUCGGGUUUAGACAGGGGUCUAUAGUGUGGUGGUGGGUCAGGUUGAGACAGGGGUCUAUAGUGUUGUGGUGGGUCAGGUUAAGACAGGGGUCUAUAGUGUGGUUGUGGGUCAGGUUAAGACAUGGGUCUAUAGUGUUGGUGGUGGGUCAGGUUGAGACAGGGGUCUAUAGUGUUGCUGGUGGGUCAGUUUGAGACAGGGGUCUAUAGUGUGGUGGUGGGUCGGGUUUAGACAGGGGUCUAUAGUGUGGUGGUGGGUCAGGUUGAGACAGGGGUCUAUAGUGUUGUGAUGGGUCAGGUUGAGACAGGGGUCUAUAGUGUGGUGGUGGGUCAGGUUGAGACAAGGGUCUAUAGUGUGGUGGUGGGUCAGGUUGAGACAGGGGUCUAUAGUGUUGGUGGUGGGUCAGGUUCAGACAGGGGUCUAUAGUGUGUUGGUGGGUCAGGUUGAGACAGGGUUCUAUAGUGUGGUGGUGGGUCAGGUUGAGACCGGGGUCUAUAGUGUGGUAGUGGGUCAGGUUGAGACAGGGGUCUAUAGUGUGGUGGUGGGUCAGGUUGAGACAGGGGUCUAUAGUGUUGGUGGUGGGUCAGGUUGAGACAGGGGUCUAUAGUGUUGGUGGUGGGUCAGGUUGAUACAGGGCUCUAUAGUGUUGGUGGUGGGUCAGGUUGAGACAGGGGUCUAUAGUGUUGGUGGUGGGUCAGGUUGAGACAGGGGUCUAUAGUGUGGUGGUGGGUCAGGUUGAGACAGGGGUCUAUAGUGUUGGUGGUG
RNAcentral lists this long non-coding RNA (1519 nucleotides) under Salmo salar (Atlantic salmon). RNAcentral describes it as "lncRNA (ENSSSAG00000120352.1)". Lineage: Eukaryota; Metazoa; Chordata; Actinopteri; Salmoniformes; Salmonidae. The record is from RNAcentral.